UGGGGAAUCUUGGACAAUGGGGGCAACCCUGAUCCAGCCAUGCCGCGUGAGUGAUGAAGGCCUUAGGGUCGUAAAGCUCUUUCGCCUGUGAAGAUAAUGACGGUAGCAGGUAAAGAAACCCCGGCUAACUCCGUGCCAGCAGCCGCGGUAAUACGGAGGGGGUUAGCGUUGUUCGGAAUUACUGGGCGUAAAGCGCACGUAGGCGGAUCGGAAAGUUGGGGGUGAAAUCCCGGGGGCUCAACCCCGGAACUGCCUCCAAAACUAUCGGUCUAGAGUUCGAGAGAGGUGAGUGGAAUUCCGAGUGUAGAGGUGAAAUUCGUAGAUAUUUGGAGGAACACCAGUGGCGAAGGCGGCUCACUGGCUCGAUACUGACGCUGAGGUGCGAAAGUGUGGGGAGCAAACAGGAUUAGAUACCCUGGUAGUCCACACCGUAAACGAUGAAUGCCAGUCGUCGGGUAGCAUGCUAUUCGGUGACACACCUAACGGAUUAAGCAUUCCGCCUGGGGAGUACGGUCGC
Molecule: ribosomal RNA, 517 nt
Filed under: uncultured bacterium
Lineage: Bacteria
Description: bacterial SSU rRNA
Rfam family: Bacterial small subunit ribosomal RNA
Source: RNAcentral